This 227-nucleotide ribosomal RNA is filed under the name Sulfurospirillum barnesii. Its description in RNAcentral is "partial 23S ribosomal RNA". It matches the Rfam family "Bacterial large subunit ribosomal RNA", at positions 1077 to 1301 of the family's 2925-position model. Lineage: Bacteria; Pseudomonadati; Campylobacterota; Epsilonproteobacteria; Campylobacterales; Sulfurospirillaceae. The record is from RNAcentral.
GGAGUUGCUCAAACAACCAGGAGGUUGGCUUAGAAGCAGCCAUCCUUUAAAGAUAGCGUAACAGCUCACUGGUCUAGUGAUUCUGCGCGGAAAAUAUAACGGGGCUAAAGUUAUCCACCGAAGCUGUAGAUUCUAUUUUUAAUAGAGUGGUAGGAGAGCGUUCUAGUCAGCAUUGAAGGUGUACCGGUAAGGAGCGCUGGAGCGGCUAGAAGUGAGUAUGCAGACCU